Molecule: ribosomal RNA, 260 nt
Filed under: uncultured Syntrophomonas sp.
Lineage: Bacteria; Bacillati; Bacillota; Clostridia; Eubacteriales; Syntrophomonadaceae
Description: partial 16S ribosomal RNA
Rfam family: Bacterial small subunit ribosomal RNA
Source: RNAcentral
GGUAGAGCUGAGCACUCUAAUGGGACUGCCCGUGACAAGCGGGAGGAAGGUGGGGGAUGACGUCAAAUCAUCAUGCCCUUUAUGAUCUGGGCUACACACGUGCUACAAUGGAUGGUACAGAGAGCAGCGAGGCCGCGAGGUGGAGCGAAUCUCAAAAAGCCAUUCUCAGUUCGGAUUGCAGUCUGCAACUCGACUGCAUGAAGUCGGAAUCGCUAGUAAUCGCGAAUCAGCACGUCGCGGUGAAUGCGUUCCCGGGCCUU